GGUUUUACAAGCUCCUUCCUUAGAUCAACUUUGAUCUGUUACAAGCUCUUUUUCUUUCCAUCCAGAAAGAAAUUUAAUCACCUAUCAACCUUGAUAGGAUUUGUUACAAGAUAUUCAAACUAUAAUAAACUCUAAUAGUUCGAGUUUUACAAUAAUGAUAAGAUUAUUUUGAUAGAAUAUGAGAUGUCUUAACUCUUGUUUAAGUUUCGAUUCUUUACAAAGAAUUCAAUACAAUAAUAACAGAGUACGAUAUAUAAUCAGAACUGAAUCUGUCUUGUGAAAAUGAGAAUUUCAAGUAUGUGAAUGUGAAUGAUUUAUGAGACUCGAUAGUACUUGAACUUCUACCAUUUCCCUGGGCAUUGGCCUUUCUUUUAUAGGCGUUUUGAAGCAUUUAAUAAUGGUCAAAAUAUUUGUUGGUAGUGCUUUGUC
RNAcentral lists this long non-coding RNA (429 nucleotides) under Cicer arietinum (chickpea). Its description in RNAcentral is "long non-coding RNA (CARI_LNC001207)". Lineage: Eukaryota; Viridiplantae; Streptophyta; Magnoliopsida; Fabales; Fabaceae. The record is from RNAcentral.